Molecule: small RNA, 183 nt
Filed under: Arabidopsis thaliana (thale cress)
Lineage: Eukaryota; Viridiplantae; Streptophyta; Magnoliopsida; Brassicales; Brassicaceae
Description: ATSL200600
Source: RNAcentral
CCUAAACCCUAAAUCCUAAACCUUAAACCCUAAACCCUAAACCCUAAAUCCUAAACCCUUACCCUAAACCCAAAACACUAAACUAUAGACCCUAAACUUUAAAACCUAAAUUCUACUUUAGCUUCCGGAAUCCAGUUGCAGUUCUAGUUCUUAUACUCAAUCAUACACAUGACAUCUAGUCAU